UAAACGGUCCUUUUCAGGACCACUGAAAAUGUUUCCGCAAGAGUUAU
Aedes albopictus (Asian tiger mosquito) is the source of this 47-nucleotide non-coding RNA. NCBI's taxonomy places the organism in Eukaryota, Metazoa, Arthropoda, Insecta, Diptera, Culicidae. The record is from Rfam.